This 358-nucleotide unclassified non-coding RNA is filed under the name soil metagenome. Its description in RNAcentral is "partial contains 5.8S ribosomal RNA, internal transcribed spacer 2, and large subunit ribosomal RNA". The stretch from base 1 to 120 matches the Rfam family "5.8S ribosomal RNA", at positions 35 to 154 of the family's 154-position model. The record is from RNAcentral.
GAUGAAGAACGUAGCGAAAUGCGAUAAGUAAUGUGAAUUGCAGAAUUCAGUGAAUCAUCGAAUCUUUGAACGCACAUUGCGCCCGUCAGUAUUCUGGCGGGCAUGCCUGUUCGAGCGUCAUUACGCCCCUCAAGUCCCCUGUGGACUUGGUGUUGGGGAUCGGCGAGGCUGGUUUUCCAGCACAGCCGUCCCUUAAAUUAAUUGGCGGUCUCGCCGUGGCCCUCCUCUGCGCAGUAGUAAAACACUCGCAACAGGAGCCCGGCGCGGUCCACUGCCGUAAAACCCCCCAACUUUUUAUAGUUGACCUCGAAUCAGGUAGGAUUACCCGCUGAACUUAAGCAUAUCAAUAAGCGGAGGA